RNAcentral lists this long non-coding RNA (311 nucleotides) under Gossypium raimondii (Peruvian cotton). RNAcentral describes it as "long non-coding RNA (GRAI_LNC010793)". Lineage: Eukaryota; Viridiplantae; Streptophyta; Magnoliopsida; Malvales; Malvaceae. The record is from RNAcentral.
GCUGACAGAGGUGGCAGAGGUGGCACAGUCGGUGGCAGAUCUAUGGGAGUUAGGGCAGCACGGGCUAGGGUUUCUUUUGUUUUUCUAUUUUUUUGGGCAUUAGGCUAAUUGGGCUUGAAUUGGGAAAUUUUGGUUUUGGGCCUGUCUAAUUUUUGUUGGGUUUGUAAUUGGUUGUAUUGGGUUUUAGUUUUUUAUGGGCCCUGGCAGGAUUGGCCCACAACAAUAUCAAAUUAGAACAUAUAAAGACAAUUUAGUAAGACUUUUGAGGGAGCAAAUUUAAAAUAAAUUUGAUAGGGUUUGGUGUAGAAACG